RNAcentral lists this long non-coding RNA (217 nucleotides) under Brassica napus (rape). RNAcentral describes it as "long non-coding RNA (BNAP_LNC001859)". Lineage: Eukaryota; Viridiplantae; Streptophyta; Magnoliopsida; Brassicales; Brassicaceae. The record is from RNAcentral.
CGCCUUCCAAGGACUUCAUGAUGAGAAGAGUAGGAGGUCUUACUUCUUGUACUUGUGUUUAAGGUCUUACUUCUUGUCCUUGUGGUUUUUUUUUUUCCAUCUCCUAUAACGUUUAGCAUAUGAUUGGUUGAUACGUGGGGGCAAAAGAUGCAAGACUUCAGUUAGAUUUCCAAAUUCGGGUUAAAAUGUUGUUUCGAUAAUUAGUUCUGAUUUUGGA